RNAcentral lists this ribosomal RNA (230 nucleotides) under uncultured bacterium. RNAcentral's name for it is "partial 16S ribosomal RNA". It matches the Rfam family "Bacterial small subunit ribosomal RNA", at positions 57 to 305 of the family's 1533-position model. The record is from RNAcentral.
GCAAGUCGAGCGAGAAGCCAUCUUCUGGUGGUGGAGAGCGGCGAACGGGUGAGUAACGCGUAGGUAUCUACCUAGUAGUGGGGAAUAACCAUUGGAAACGAUGGCUAAAACCGCAUACGCCCUGAGGGGGAAAACUGAGGUGGAAUUAGAGGAGCCUGCGUUAGAUUAGAUAGUUGGUGAGGUAAUGGCCCACCAAGGCGACGAUCUAUAGCUGGUUUGAGAGGAUGAUC